Molecule: ribosomal RNA, 900 nt
Filed under: Bacillus sp. HZBN68
Lineage: Bacteria; Bacillati; Bacillota; Bacilli; Caryophanales; Bacillaceae
Description: bacterial SSU rRNA
Rfam family: Bacterial small subunit ribosomal RNA
Source: RNAcentral
AGUCUGACGGAGCAACGCCGCGUGAGUGAUGAAGGAUUUCGGUUCGUAAAGCUCUGUUGUUAGGGAAGAACAAGUGCCGUUCGAAUAGGGCGGCACCUUGACGGUACCUAACCAGAAAGCCACGGCUAACUACGUGCCAGCAGCCGCGGUAAUACGUAGGUGGCAAGCGUUGUCCGGAAUUAUUGGGCGUAAAGCGCGCGCAGGCGGUCUUUUAAGUCUGAUGUGAAAGCCCACGGCUCAACCGUGGAGGGUCAUUGGAAACUGGGAGACUUGAGUACAGAAGAGGAGAGUGGAAUUCCACGUGUAGCGGUGAAAUGCGUAGAUAUGUGGAGGAACACCAGUGGCGAAGGCGACUCUCUGGUCUGUAACUGACGCUGAGGCGCGAAAGCGUGGGGAGCAAACAGGAUUAGAUACCCUGGUAGUCCACGCCGUAAACGAUGAGUGCUAGGUGUUAGGGGUUUCGAUGCCCUUAGUGCCGAAGUUAACACAUUAAGCACUCCGCCUGGGGAGUACGACCGCAAGGUUGAAACUCAAAGGAAUUGACGGGGGCCCGCACAAGCAGUGGAGCAUGUGGUUUAAUUCGAAGCAACGCGAAGAACCUUACCAGGUCUUGACAUCCUUUGACCACCCUAGAGAUAGGGCUUUCCCCUUCGGGGGACAAAGUGACAGGUGGUGCAUGGUUGUCGUCAGCUCGUGUCGUGAGAUGUUGGGUUAAGUCCCGCAACGAGCGCAACCCUUGAUCUUAGUUGCCAGCAUUCAGUUGGGCACUCUAAGGUGACUGCCGGUGACAAACCGGAGGAAGGUGGGGACGACGUCAAAUCAUCAUGCCCCUUAUGACCUGGGCUACACACGUGCUACAAUGGAUGGUACAAAGAGCAGCAAACCCGCGAGGUCGAGCCA